This 570-nucleotide ribosomal RNA is filed under the name uncultured Nitrososphaerota archaeon. RNAcentral's name for it is "bacterial SSU rRNA". It matches the Rfam family "Archaeal small subunit ribosomal RNA", at positions 166 to 737 of the family's 1478-position model. Lineage: Archaea; Thermoproteati; Nitrososphaerota. The record is from RNAcentral.
AUUCCUGGAAUGGUUUAUGUUCCAAAUGAUUUAUCGCCGUAGGAUGGGACUGCGGCCUAUCAGUUUGUUGGUGAGGUAAUGGCCCACCAAGACUAUUACAGGUACGGGCUCUGAGAGGAGUGGCCCGGAGAUGGGUACUGAGACACGGACCCAGGCCCUAUGGGGCGCAGCAGGCGAGAAAACUUUGCAAUGUGCGAAAGCACGACAAGGUUAAUCCGAGUGGUUUCUGCUAAAGGAACCUUUUGUCAGUCGUAGAAUCACUGAUGAAUAAGGGGUGGGCAAGUUCUGGUGUCAGCCGCCGCGGUAAAACCAGCACCUCAAGUGGUCAGGAUGAUUAUUGGGCCUAAAGCAUCCGUAGCCGGCUCUGUAAGUUUUCGGUUAAAUCUGUACGCUCAACGUACAGGCUGCCGGGAAUACUGCAGAGCUAGGGAGUGGGAGAGGUAGACGGUACUCGGUAGGAAGGGGUAAAAUCCUUUGAUCUAUUGAUGACCACCUGUGGCGAAGGCGGUCUACCAGAACACGUCCGACGGUGAGGGAUGAAAGCUGGGGGAGCAAACCGGAUUAGAUACC